ACCGAUAGUGAACCAGUACCGUGAGGGAAAGGCGAAAAGAACCCCGGCGAGGGGAGUGAAAAAGAACCUGAAACCGUGUACGUACAAGCAGUGGGAGCCUCUUUAUGGGGUGACUGCGUACCUUUUGUAUAAUGGGUCAGCGACUUAUAUUCUGUAGCAAGGUUAACCGUAUAGGGGAGCCGAAGGGAAACCGAGUCUUAACUGGGCGUUAAGUUGCAGGGUAUAGACCCGAAACCCGGUGAUCUAGCCAUGGGCAGGUUGAAGGUUGGGUAACACUAACUGGAGGACCGAACCGACUAAUGUUGAAAAAUUAGCGGAUGACUUGUGGCUGGGGGUGAAAGGCCAAUCAAACCGGGAGAUAGCUGGUUCUCCCCGAAAGCUAUUUAGGUAGCGCCUCGUGAAUUCAUCUUCGGGGGUAGAGCACUGUUUCGGCUAGGGGGUCAUCCCGACUUACCAACCCGAUGCAAACUGCGAAUACCGAAGAAUGUUAUCACGGGAGACACACGGCGGGUGCUAACGUCCGUCGUGAAGAGGGAAACAACCCAGACCGCCAGCUAAGGUCCCAAAGUCAUGGUUAAGUGGGAAACGAUGUGGGAAGGCACAGACAGCCAGGAUGUUGGCUUAGAAGCAGCCAUCAUUUAAAGAAAGCGUAAUAGCUCACUGGUCGAGUCGGCCUGCGCGGAAGAUGUAACGGGGCUAAACCAUGCACCGAAGCUGCGGCAGCGACACUAUGUGUUGUUGGGUAGGGGAGCGU
RNAcentral lists this ribosomal RNA (754 nucleotides) under Citrobacter freundii. Its description in RNAcentral is "partial 23S ribosomal RNA". It matches the Rfam family "Bacterial large subunit ribosomal RNA", at positions 483 to 1239 of the family's 2925-position model. Lineage: Bacteria; Pseudomonadati; Pseudomonadota; Gammaproteobacteria; Enterobacterales; Enterobacteriaceae. The record is from RNAcentral.